GGUAUCCUACGGGGGGCAGCAGUGGGGAAUAUUGCACAAUGGGGGAAACCCUGAUGCAGCAACGCCGCGUGAGUGAAGAAGUAUUUCGGUAUGUAAAGCUCUAUCAGCAGGGAAGAAAAUGACGGUACCUGAGUAAGAAGCCCCGGCUAACUACGUGCCAGCAGCCGCGGUAAUACGUAGGGGGCAAGCGUUAUCCGGAUUUACUGGGUGUAAAGGGAGCGUAGACGGCGGUGCAAGUCUGAAGUGAAAGCCCGGGGCUCAACCCCGGAACUGCUUUGGAAACUGUAUGGCUGGCGUUCUGGAGG
RNAcentral lists this ribosomal RNA (305 nucleotides) under uncultured bacterium. Its description in RNAcentral is "bacterial SSU rRNA". It matches the Rfam family "Bacterial small subunit ribosomal RNA", at positions 333 to 655 of the family's 1533-position model. The record is from RNAcentral.